RNAcentral lists this ribosomal RNA (305 nucleotides) under uncultured bacterium. RNAcentral's name for it is "partial 16S ribosomal RNA". It matches the Rfam family "Bacterial small subunit ribosomal RNA", at positions 508 to 807 of the family's 1533-position model. The record is from RNAcentral.
ACAGCAGUAGCCGCGGUAAUACAGAGGGUGCGAGCGUUAAUCGGAUUUACUGGGCGUAAAGCGUGCGUAGGCGGCUUUUUAAGUCGGAUGUGAAAUCCCUGAGCUUAACUUAGGAAUUGCAUUCGAUACUGGGAAGCUAGAGUAUGGGAGAGGAUGGUAGAAUUCCAGGUGUAGCGGUGAAAUGCGUAGAGAUCUGGAGGAAUACCGAUGGCGAAGGCAGCCAUCUGGCCUAAUACUGACGCUGAGGUACGAAAGCAUGGGGAGCAAACAGGAUUAGAUACCCCAGUAUUCCCUGUCUCUUAUAC